UUCAAACCUGGGCACCAUCCAGGUUCCCCCAAUUCGCUGAAAGAACAGUGCCUUCUAUUGUGUCUUGGAAAAUUCCAGGAAAAUUUGCUUCUCUCCUCAGUGUGAAUAACAGCACGGUCCAGCCAGCUUCUUCUCGGUUCACAAGAGGCCCACGUGAGGACAGAGACGUUACGAGAAGAACAGCGCCAGGGGACGAAAAGGGAGCCAUGAUAACGUUUAAAAGCAACGGAUGACCCAUCUGUGAAUGCUCCUCAAGAAACCAGUCAAGAUAGGAGGUGAAUCUACGUGCUGGCAGCUGUCGAGAUUGGUUGGAGGGAAGUCUUCAAGACAUCAUGAGUACCUGGGGUCCUGGCAGUGGAGACGAGGCCUCCUAAUCAUGGAAUCCCACAUUAUCCGUGACUGGAGAUGCAGGAUGCUCCUGUGGCAAGAUCAGCAGAGGCUCCUUCCCAGAAAAGACAAAGCGAUCGAAACUGAGAAAAAAAUAUUCAAGUGUGACAAAAAAAUUGAACCCAUCAAGUUUUUCCAAAUACGGUAGUCCACCCCUCGUCUGAGUUCCGACUUCCACGAUUUCAGUUACCCACGGUCAGGGGGGAUCCGGAAGCAGAUGAUCCCCCUCCUCAGGGAUAAUCUAAAGGUCAGUAGUAGCCUUACUUACUUACCACAUCACAGUGCCUACCUCAUUCACCUCACCUCAUCCCAUUGUGUAGACAUUUUAUCAUCAUCUCAUGUCAUCACAAGAAGAAGGGUGAGUAGCGUACAGUAAGAUACUUGGGGGGAGAGAGAGAGAGAGAGAGAGAGAGAGAGAGACCACAUUGAC
Molecule: long non-coding RNA, 817 nt
Filed under: Felis catus (domestic cat)
Lineage: Eukaryota; Metazoa; Chordata; Mammalia; Carnivora; Felidae
Description: lncRNA (ENSFCAG00000046180.2)
Source: RNAcentral